This 61-nucleotide transfer RNA is filed under the name Ictidomys tridecemlineatus (thirteen-lined ground squirrel). Its description in RNAcentral is "Spermophilus tridecemlineatus (thirteen-lined ground squirrel) tRNA". It matches the Rfam family "tRNA", at positions 6 to 65 of the family's 71-position model. Rfam says of the family: Transfer RNA (tRNA) molecules are approximately 80 nucleotides in length. Their secondary structure includes four short double-helical elements and three loops (D, anti-codon, and T loops). The record is from Rfam by way of RNAcentral. Lineage: Eukaryota; Metazoa; Chordata; Mammalia; Rodentia; Sciuridae.
UGUGGCUCAGUGGUAGAGUGCUUGCCUAGCAGGCAUGAGGCACUGGGUUCGAUCUCCAGCA